This 253-nucleotide ribosomal RNA is filed under the name uncultured prokaryote. RNAcentral's name for it is "partial 16S ribosomal RNA". It matches the Rfam family "Bacterial small subunit ribosomal RNA", at positions 525 to 777 of the family's 1533-position model. The record is from RNAcentral.
ACAGAGGGUGCGAGCGUUGUCCGGAAUCACUGGGCGUAAAGGGCGCGUAGGUGGCGACCCAAGUCAAUGGUGAAAGCUCGUCGCUUAACGACGAGUCGGCCACUGAUACUGGGUUGCUCGAGCACUGUAGAGGCUAAUGGAAUUCCGGGUGUAGCGGUGGAAUGCGUAGAGAUCCGGAAGAACACCGGAGGCGAAGGCGGCCUGCUGGGCUCUUGCUGACACUGAGGCGCGACAGCGUGGGGAGCAAACAGGA